RNAcentral lists this ribosomal RNA (487 nucleotides) under uncultured euryarchaeote. RNAcentral's name for it is "bacterial SSU rRNA". It matches the Rfam family "Archaeal small subunit ribosomal RNA", at positions 348 to 828 of the family's 1478-position model. The record is from RNAcentral. Lineage: Archaea; Methanobacteriati; Methanobacteriota.
CUUUCCAACGAAGGCACCAGCGAUAAGGAAGGAAAGUGUGCCUGAUUGCAAAUAGGGCCUUCCAGAGGCUAUAAAAGCCUGGUAUAGCAAGGGCCGGGCAAGACCGGUGCCAGCCGCCGCGGUAACACCGGCGGCUCGAGUGGUAACCGUUAUUAUUGGGUCUAAAGGGUCUGUAGCAGGGCGGGUAAGUCUCUUGGGAAAUCUACCAGCUUAACCGUCAGGCUUUCAGGGGAUACUAUCUGCCUAGAGGCCGGGAGAGGUGAGAGGUACUUCAGGGGUAGGGGUGAAAUCCUGUAAUCCUUGGAGGACCACCAGUGGCGAAGGCGUCUCACCAGAACGGACCUGACGGCAAGGGACGAAAGCUAGGGGCACGAACCGGAUUAGAUACCCGGGUAGUCUUACCUGUAGCAGGGCUAGGGCAGGCUUAAAUGGGCUAGGACAGGCAGGGGAACGCAGGACUGGCAGGGGAGCGCAGCACUGACAUGGA